AUUGAACGCUGGCGGCAUGCCUUGCACAUGCAAGUCGAACGGUAACAGGUCUUCGGAUGCUCAUGAGUGGCGAACGGGUGAGUAAUACAUCGGAACGUGCCUAGUAGUGGGGGAUAACUACUCGAAAGAGUGGCUAAUACCGCAUGAGAUCUACGGAUGAAAGCAGUGGAUCGCAAGACCUUGUGCUACUAGAGCGGCCGAUGGCAGUUUAGGUAGUUGGUGGGAUAAAAGCUGACCAAGCCGACGAUCUGUAGCUGGUCUGAGAGGACGAUCAGCCACACUGGGACUGAGACACGGCCCAGACUCCUACGGGAGGCAGCAGUGGGGAAUUUUGGACAAUGGGCGAAAGCCUGAUCCAGCAAUGCCGCGUGCAGGAUGAAGGCCUUCGGGUUGUAAACUGCUUUUGUACGGAACGAAAAGCCCCGGGUUAAUACCCUGGAGUCAUGACGGUACCGUAAGAAUAAGCACCGGCUAACUACGUGCCAGCAGCCGCCGUAA
This 498-nucleotide ribosomal RNA is filed under the name uncultured bacterium. RNAcentral's name for it is "partial 16S ribosomal RNA". It matches the Rfam family "Bacterial small subunit ribosomal RNA", at positions 30 to 523 of the family's 1533-position model. The record is from RNAcentral.